ACAACCCUUUAACCAAUAAAAUUGCACUAAGUAACCUCUUCACUUUAUUGUUUGUCAUCUUCAACACCCAUUUUCAGAUCAGAGAGACAGAGAAACAAGAGAAGAGAAUUAUUGCGAGGGAAAAGAAAUAGACUGUACGAUAAGAUCCAUACUCUCUUUAAGAGUUUUCUGUUGAGAGAAGUUUGGAAAAAAGGCUUUCAGGCCAAUCCAUGGGUUCUUUUAAUCCAAUUCAAUUCAAGGUUUGGUCUUUCUCCUUUUAAUUUCUCUCAAACAAUCCGAAUUCCCUUCUGGGUUUUCCUUAGAUCUGUCUUUGCAAUCGCUUUCUUAGUCUCUUUUUUUGUUCAUACUUACUGGGUUUUUAGGGUUUUCGAAAUUGGUAUAUAAACUUGAUCCUGAAAUUAGGGCUUUUGCUCUAUUCUGAAUACAUAGAAAAUUAAUUAGUAUUUGAUAACCGGGAAGAUGCAAUCUAGAAGAAAAGAGGAGCAUGUUGAACUAUCGCGAACUGUUAAGUCGCGUGGUCAACACAGGGCUGCUGCUGAAGCUGGUCCUCAUGACCCUUAUCCAGUUUCUCGUCGUGAGGUGAUCAAUAAUCGGUCUCCUCCACUGCGUGGACGGAGGAGCUAUAGUCCUAAUUCCCUUGAUGCGUCUAGGAGGGUGGGCUCAGUUAGGGAUCGGAUGACCGGAUCCAUGAUGGGGAGGGAUUCAUAUGGUCAGCAUGUGGGUAGUGUUACAACUGAAACGGCACGAUCAAAAUCACCCCUACAUGAGCAAAUGCGAAAGAAGCCUCAUUAUGAAGAUGAGGGAGUUGUCCAUAGAAAAUAUGAUUAUGUUGAGCCUGUUGGUUUUGAUGAUCGUACAAACUCCAGAGCAAGGGGUGUUUAUCAUGGUACUUCUAGGAUGACCAAAGAGAAGGACUAUAUGGAUAACAGAGUUUCAACUAUUGAUGGGCACGUAAUGAUGAGCCAGAAAUUGUUGCCAGUGGAAGAAAUCAAUGUAAGAGGGCCACAUCGGUUGCCUCAGGAUCUAGGUCCAAGCCUAAAUUUUUCUGAAACUAGUGGGCAGUUACCAUUUUCCUCUCAAGAUAUUAAUAUAGGUCAAUAUGAGCAUGAAAAAUUUCGGCAUCGAGAAACUAUACCUUCUAAGAAGGCGACAGUUAUGGAUUCUUACAAAGAAGACAAACCCAUGUUUGACUCCCAGGAUGUUACAUAUAGUAUGGUGGAAGCAUCUCAAUCCAAGGACUUCAUGAGCACCAAUCAACUUAAGGAUUUUCCUAGCACAUCUUCUGGUCUCCCUAGGACUGAGUUCCUGUGUUCAUAUCAGGAUGAUGCACCCUUACAUGUUUCUGAAGAAUAUCUUAGGAGCAGCAGGAAGCUCACAGAACCGGUGGGAUAUAAUAAGUAUGAUCAAAGGCCACUUACAGAUUCUGUGAGAGAUCCUGAAUCUGCAAGAAGGAAUAUGACGUUAUAUCAGCAAUGGACAAAUAGUCCGAGCAGAGCUGAAUAUGAGGAUUACGUAUACAGAAAACCUAGGGUAAUAGGAAGUAAUAAUCGUGGGUAUCCAGUUGAGGACGUAAAAAGGUUGAUGCCAUCUCAAUCUCGAGUUAGCUAUGAACAUGCACCAGUUGAUUACGGUCAUAUAGGCAUGCCAAAACCAAAUAUUAUGCACCAUGUUGUAGACAGAAUUGAUAAUACAGAUCAUUCUUAUGGAAGUUCAAGAAAGGCCAUUAUAUGGGAUGAUCAUGCUUUGCAAAAGCAGAUAAGUACUGACUACAUUGAUAUGCGUGGAUCAUAUGCACCAAUGCAUGGUGAGGAAUAUGUGGGUUCGGAAGAUGCCCAUGCUGCGUUUGGAAGAAGACUACCACAAGAUUAUGAAAUGUCACAUUUGGAUGCAUCUCACAACCGUCAAUUAUCAAAUUUGAGAUCUGAUUCUGGUUAUGGCAGAGGAGUAGGUCCAAUCUUUCAAAAUGAAAGAAUGAUAAAUUCUUCUGCAUCUAAAUAUGAUGCAGAGCAACGUAGACCAGGUCUAAGAACAAAGAGAAUGGAGGACGAGCUUGACAUGUACUCAGAUAGGAUCCUUAAAAGGAAGUUCCUUAUGGUGGAAGAUAUUGAUAGGCCAAGUUCUAAAACAAUUGUAUCCCGAAAAUUGCAUUCAGCUGGCGACUUUGGAAGUUCAUAUGACAGUGAGGAGCAGAUUGAUGAAGAUAUAAUUGGUUUACAUGCAUCUAGGACAAAACGGUAUGGCCACAAUGAAUAUAGAAAAGCUGGAAGGACAUAUGAUGGGCAAGAACAUCAAGGAGAUUCAGAAUUGGAUGACUGGUAUAUGUCCGAAGGUUCUUUGGCACAUUCGCAAAGGGUUCCAAUCAGAUUUUACAAAAAUAGUGGUAAAUAUAUUAAGGGAAAUCCUGGACCUGUUUCUCUUAGCUGGCAUACUUCAAAUCAUAAUGACAGAAGAAGUAACCUUCAUAACCAAAACAAAGUUUGGAAGAGAAAUGAAGAUUAUGAUGAGGAUAUAAAUGCAAAUGAUGGUGACAUGACUGAAGAUUUAGUGAAUUAUGCAGAGGCUGAGCUGUCCGAGGAUUCAGAAGAAUUUAAGCAAUUGGUACAUGAAGCAUUCUUAAAGUACUCUAGAAAGUUAAAUUUGAACCAGUCUGCUCGUAGAAGAUACAAGGAGCAAGGAAAUGCUGGUAGUUUGUUCUGCAUUGUAUGUGGAAGAAGGUCUGUUUUCUUUUCUAUUACAUGCAUUUUAAAGAGGGGCCUAUAUUUUCAUUUAGUUCUUUGCUUCAAUGAGGACUUUCAUAGUGUUUGUUUAAAGUUGCAAUCAACUAAGUAUGCAGAGGCCCAAAGGUUCUAUCAAUUGGUCGUCCUUGGACAUUUUUAAUGGCCUUUUGAAUAUUUUGGGAACUAACAAAAUCAUUACUGUUAUUUAGUUAUUUAAGUGAUGAACUUGAGGUUUUUUUCUUCUGGCCAUGCAGUUUGUUCAUUAAAUUGUAACUAGACAUAUGAUGGUUGGUCAUAAACAACUUUAUUUCUGGGUCUAAUGUCAAUUAUUUUGCUUCUAAGCAGAAAUAUGCCUGAGAAAUGAGUGUUUAUAUUAAUAAUUCGGGUUUCAUAAAAUGUAAUAAUGCUAGCGUACCAUCUACUGAAUGUGAAGUUUAUGAAUAUGUUAACACCAUGCAACCUUAGAUAUAGUAAAUGCUUUCAUUCACUAAAAGAAGAAUAGAGGGGAAAGUAGAGAGUUUCAGCAUUUGUGACAAAAAAUUGUUGAAUGGGCUAGCUUGCUGUGUGAUGGGAUUUAGGCUUCCAGUUUUUAUCAAUUUAAGCUUCAUAACAUUUUAUAUAGAAGUCCAUCCAGUGAGGUUGGAACUUGGAAAUUUCCUGCGUUAGAUGACAUUUGUGUAUAGCCCUAUAAGUAAGCUAACUGCUGAAAGUUGGUUGAUUUUGAUACAUCAAGUGGAGAACUCCGAGGAUUCUUUAAGUGUGCUGAUAUGGAGAACGUCUUGGCUUUAUCGAUACUGGAUAGAACUUAUUGCUUCCCAUGCUCAUUCUUGACUGAUUUGUGAGAAAAGCUGCUUGAUUUCAGCAACAGGCAUCUAGGAUGUUUGGUUUGAGGCAUUUGUCCUUGCUCUUUCAGAAUCCUUGGAUGUUGUUAAGGAGCAAGAUAGGAUGAUAGUGAGGCACUGCCAGUCAAUUAUGAUGCUACUUGCUUUUAAUGGAGAGGUCCAUGAUGGAGAAGGUCUAAAUGGCAGUGUAGAUUGGGAACUCAGAUAGAGAGAUAAAGCUAUGUGGUCUGCAUUAUGUUGCAGAUCAGCUUUUUAAGUUCUGUAAAGAACUUUGUAAAAAGUGUGUAUUAUUUUGUCUUGCAUGGUUUUAUACAGCAAUUUCUUGUAGGUAGCUAAAUGUUGAUCUUAAUGAUCCAUCCAUCCAUCUCGCUUCCCCCCCCCCCCCUCCCCCUUCCCCCUUCCCCCUCCUCUCUCGCUCUCUCUUUCUGAUGCAUUUGAUGUAUGUGUUUUUUUUUUUUUAAUUAUCUUUUUUGAAGUAAAUUUUUGUUAGUAAAACAUUUGCAAAUGCAGUCUACUUUUUUGAAGUAGAAGUCAGGUUGCAGUAAAACAGGAUGCUUUGCUUGAUUAAAGAUAUACUUUGUUGUUUUUAACUCUUCACUCGUCUUAUCUAAUGAACUGAUGAUAUAAUCCUGUAAAUAUGAAUAGACCUGUCAAUUGGACAAGUCAAGUUGGGCUGGGUCAAUUCAGGUUUUAAAAUUUUUGACACUCGGGCUUGGGCCAUUUUGGGUUACUUGUUCGGGUCAUUUCUAGUUAUGGUUGUUUUUGGGUUUGGGUUGGGUGGUUGCCUUUUUGUGGUCAAAUCAGGUUGGCUCGAGUUCAAGUUAAGUUAAUCAGGUUGGGUUUUUGGUUUGGGUUAGAAUUGAUAGGUUUAAAUAUACCCUCAAUAUACUGUUGAACUUGGGUGAAAAACAAGAGUUUGUUAAGGUAAGUCACUGUUUGACCUAUGUAGAAGGUGUGCUUAGGUUUUGAAACACUUUCGUACUUUAUUUCCAGUGACUGUAGAAAAAUCGGUUUGAGAUACAUUAGAUUGGAACUGGAUAUUACUUUUUAUGUUCUUGAUUUUGAUUUCGUUCUCUCUUAUCUGAUUGGAUUCGGGUUGUUUUCCUCUAAUGGCUUUGAGAGCAUCAAUCAUCAUGAACAUCUAGAUUAAUAUUUAUUCAAAUCAGUCUCUCCUUUUUAAAAUUUAUUACCAUUGAUGAACAAUGAAUCUUCCUCUCUCUAUUAUUCUUACAUAUGUGCCUCUUACAGCUACUCAAAGGAAUUCAUGGACACCCAACGCCUGGUGACGCAUGCUUUCAUGUCUCACAAGGUUGGGUUGAGGGCAGAGCACUUGGGUCUUCACAAAGCAAUAUGUGUGUUGCUGGGGUGGGACAGCAUAGCACCUCCUGACACUAUAACAUGGGUUCCCCAGGUCUUGCCUGAAGCUGAAGCCUUGGCUCAGAAGGAGGAU
Molecule: RNA transcript, 5009 nt
Organism: Gossypium arboreum
Lineage: Eukaryota; Viridiplantae; Streptophyta; Magnoliopsida; Malvales; Malvaceae
Exons: 2
Source: RefSeq, a predicted model, not a curated record